RNAcentral lists this ribosomal RNA (600 nucleotides) under uncultured bacterium. RNAcentral describes it as "bacterial SSU rRNA". It matches the Rfam family "Bacterial small subunit ribosomal RNA", at positions 708 to 1323 of the family's 1533-position model. The record is from RNAcentral.
ACCAGUGGCGAAGGCGGCUUGCUAGCCAGAUACUGACAUUGAGGCACGAAAGCGUGGGGAGCAAACAGGAUUAGAUACCCUGGUAGUCCACGCCCUAAACGAUGAGUACUAAGUGUUGGUGAGAAAUCAGUGCUGAAGUUAACGCAUUAAGUACUCCGCCUGAGUAGUACGUACGCAAGUAUGAAACUUAAAGGAAUUGACGGGAGCCCGCACAAGCGGUGGAGCAUGUUGUUUAAUUCGACGAUACGCGAAGAACCUUACCAGGUCUUGACAUCUAGGUGAUAGCUAUAGAGAUAUAGUGAGAGAGCCUAAGACAGGUGGUGCAUGGUUGUCGUCAGCUCGUGUCGUGAGAUGUUGGGUUAAGUCCCGCAACGAGCGCAACCCUUAUUUCUAGUUACCAGCAGUAAGAUGGGGACUCUAGAGAGACUGCCAGCGAUAAGUUGGAGGAAGGUGGGGAUGACGUCAAAUCAUCAUGCCCUAUAUGACCUGGGCUACAAACGUGCUACAAUGGCUGAAACAUAGAGAAGCGAAGCGCGAGGUGGAGCGAACCUCAUAAAAGCAGUCUCAGUUCGGAUUGAAGUCUGCAACUCGACUUCAUGA